This 29-nucleotide non-coding RNA is filed under the name Homo sapiens (human). Lineage: Eukaryota; Metazoa; Chordata; Mammalia; Primates; Hominidae. The record is from RNAcentral.
UGGUGAGAGCACACCUGAACAAAGGAAAA